Long non-coding RNA from Armigeres subalbatus, 1433 nucleotides. RefSeq lists it as uncharacterized. The transcript has 2 exons. The record is from RefSeq and is a predicted model, not a curated record. Lineage: Eukaryota; Metazoa; Arthropoda; Insecta; Diptera; Culicidae.
GACAUCAGAUGAUGCUCUGUUUAUUGCUUGGGGUACCAGUCAGUGUUUUGCAAACAUUCAGGAGGGUUACGACGCACCGGGACUCGAAGCUAGGCGAUUUUUAUUUUACCGUUCCCCUCAUUGGAAUGCAGACCGUGUACAGAUUGGCACAUUCAGCGUAGUUGAUUGCCCCUGAAUUAUACUAAACGGGAAGCAUGUGGCUGUCAAAGCUGCCUGAAAGUAUGCACAACGUGAGAAGUCAGAAGGUAUCAGAAAGCCGCAAAAAUAAGUAGAAGCAUCCGCACUGAUGAAACUACCCAUGCAGCAUCAAUCAUAGUAACCCAUGAGUCAGUAGACAACAUUUGACAGCUCUAUCAGUCGAACUCUAAACGUGAUGGCAAAACCAGUGAAGCAACUCCGUACAGAAGUAUUCACGUUCAAAGAACGUCGUUCACCGCGUCGAAAACGGACAUCGUGCGGCACUUUGUGGACACCGGAUAGGCCCAGUCUGGCAUUUACAACAUCUUGGCAAUCACUUGUCAUAAGACGAGUUUGUACAAUCCCAUUUAAUUCCAGCACUUAAGUGUACCUUGACAGAUGCGUAAUUCGACCUCAACAGUAAGGUCGUCUUCAGUGUCUCGUACUUGACUCGACUUCGUCGAGAAAAGCUCAAAAUAGUUUUCUUAACAUCUUGGCAAUAUUAGACAACAAUCUGAGCAUCGAAAGAAAGCCUGGUUCUAGACGGCCGAUGACCCUGAGCGACAAGAAGCUCUAAAAAAAGCUGAAAAUGAAGACCAAGGGAAGGUUGGCUACAUUGCGGCGUGCGCUUGGCCAGGAGGUUGGUGCAAAUUUAUCAAAAGCAAUUAUCUGUCUGUUUAUCACCAUCCGAAAAAAGUCCAUUUUUAAUGUAAACGUUAGAAACUUCUGAACCGUGAAAUUUUCCUCCAAAAUUCAUCAUUGAAAAUACAUCGCCGAAAAACGUCUUCAAAUAUUCAAACACAGCUUGUAUGAAUCAUCAAUGAUCAUAUUUUGUGUAUAUGGUAUAUCAGUAAACAUAAUCCUUAUAUGUCCGGCACUGCGGGAUUUCUCUCUACUAUUUUUUUUCUCUCUUUUCUUGAAGCUCUGGCACGACUCAUAACUCGAGCACGACGCUACGCCACACCAUUCAUGACGACAAAUACCCGGAUCAGCAGCUGAAAUAUCUCAAAACCUAACUUCCAAUCCCGUAUGUCCUGAAAUUACGCAAUGUAACAAAUGCAAAUUUUCUAGGGAAUUAUCAUUAGAUUUUUUAUUCCAACGGAAAUUCUUCGGAAUUUACAUGGGAGAUAAUUUCAAAUUUUACAGAAUUCACGUAGCAAGUUCUCGAUACACUAAAUGAAAAAUUCUUCAGAACAUACACUGGAAAUAUUUUCCUAUUUCUUUCGUAAAUAAAAUGCUUCACAUUACAACGGGAA